UUAGAUACGCCGACUUUAUUACCAGCUCUACUGUAGGCGAAAUGUAUCAACAUCAUUUUCCAUUUCCACCAAUGAACCUGUACGAGGUAACGGAAUGACAGCCAAAACCAGCUCAGUUCAGAUAUCAGAGGGAAGAAAUGUAAAACGAGGUACAAUUGAAGCUUGGUGAAAUAUGACAUCUGUCGAGUGUCUGCAGUAUAGAACUUCUAUAGCAUUUGUUGUUUUGACUGUUUUUCUAUAAGCCAAUAUUUGUAUUAUGAUAUGUUGUACUAUUCGCAUUACUAUGUUUGAUAAUAACUGUUUUACAAGGAGCGUUCACGUCGAUGCAAUAUUCUCGAUGCUUUCACCACUAUACACGGAAUUCAUAUUGUUCACCAAAUAAGAAGAUUUAAAUAAUUUUCAUAAUGUAUGUUUCUUGUAAUGAUUUAUCAUAUUGUAACGCUAUGCCUAUUUAUAUUAUCGAUUGAAUUACCAUAGCCUUAUACAGUAUAAUGGGACUAAAGUUAAGCAAUUAUUACUGAUUUUACUCUAAACUUGUGAACAGCGGUAGGCCUAUUAUGUGUGAUCUUUUGUAAGUUCGUUUGAAAUUACUUAUAUUAUUAUUAUAUUUCGAUAUGAUGCAUUUUGUGUAAUUUAAUAUAUACUUCUUA
Anneissia japonica is the source of this 650-nucleotide long non-coding RNA. RefSeq lists it as uncharacterized. The transcript is spliced from 3 exons. NCBI's taxonomy places the organism in Eukaryota, Metazoa, Echinodermata, Crinoidea, Comatulida, Comatulidae. The record is from RefSeq and is a predicted model, not a curated record.